AAAGUAGAUUAGAUGAUCGCCAGGUUUUUUAGCAUGGAGGAAAGUCCGAACACCACAGGGCAGGGUGCUCCAUAACGUGGAGUCGCGGUGACGUGAAGGAAAGUGCAACAGAAAGUAAACCGCCGAUGAUGAAUUCUUUAUUGAAUUCAAACAGGUAAGGGUGAAACGGUGAGGUAAGAGCUCACCAGUUCUUCGGGUGAUCGAAGAAGCUUGGUAAACCCCACCCGGUGCAAGACCAAAUAGGAAAACGCUUUAGAAUGGCCCGUUCAAGUUUUCGGGUAGGUCGCAUGAGAUAUCGAGUAAUUGAUAUCCUUAGAUGAAUGAUCAUCACCGGUUGUUUUCAGUCGGGACAGAAUUCGGCUUAUGAUUUACUUUGACC
Molecule: RNase P RNA, 379 nt
Filed under: Candidatus Magnetomorum sp. HK-1
Lineage: Bacteria; Pseudomonadati; Thermodesulfobacteriota; Desulfobacteria; Desulfobacterales; Candidatus Magnetomoraceae
Description: Bacterial RNase P class A
Rfam family: Bacterial RNase P class A
About the family: Ribonuclease P (RNase P) is a ubiquitous endoribonuclease, found in archaea, bacteria and eukarya as well as chloroplasts and mitochondria.
Source: Rfam by way of RNAcentral